UACAGAGGGGGCAAGCGUUGUCCGGAAUCAUUGGGCGUAAAGAGCUCGUAGGCGGUUCGGCAAGUCGGAUGUGAAAUCUCCACGCUCAACGUGGAGGGGCCAUUCGAAACUGCCGUGACUCGAGUCCGGUAGGGGAGUGCGGAAUUCCCGGUGUAGCGGUGAAAUGCGCAGAUAUCGGGAGGAACACCAGUGGCGAAGGCGGCACUCUGGGCCGGAACUGACGCUGAGGAGCGAAAGCGUGGGGAGCGAACAGG
This 254-nucleotide ribosomal RNA is filed under the name uncultured bacterium. Its description in RNAcentral is "partial 16S ribosomal RNA". It matches the Rfam family "Bacterial small subunit ribosomal RNA", at positions 524 to 776 of the family's 1533-position model. The record is from RNAcentral.